GCAGUGCCCCUUGAUACUGAAGAGCUUGAAUACAUUAGAGGUAGGCGGAAUGUGACAAGUAGCGGUGAAAUGCAUAGAUAUGUCACAGAACACCGAUUGCGAAGGCAGCUUACUAUGAUGAGAUUGACGCUGAGGCACGAAAGCGUGGGGAUCAAACAGGAUUAGAUACCCUGGUAGUCCACGCCCUAAACGAUGAAUACUCGCUGUUAGCGAUACACAGUUAGCGGCUAAGCGAAAGCGUUAAGUAUUCCACCUGGGGAGUACGGUCGCAAGAUUGAAACUCAAAGGAAUUGACGGGGGCCCGCACAAGCGGAGGAGCAUGUGGUUUAAUUCGAUGAUACGCGAGGAACCUUACCCGGGCUUGAAAGUUAGUGAAUCAUUUAGAGAUAGAUGAGUGAGCAAUCACACGAAACUAGGUGCUGCAUGGCUGUCGUCAGCUCGUGCCGUGAGGUGUUGGGUUAAGUCCCGCAACGAGCGCAACCCCUAUGUUUAGUUGCCAGCACGUUAAGGUGGGGACUCUAAACAGACUGCCUGUGCAAACAGAGAGGAAGGAGGGGACGACGUCAAGUCAUCAUGGCCCUUACGUCCGGGGCUACACACGUGCUACAAUGGAUGGUACAGAGGGCAGCAAGCUGGCAACAGCAAGCGAAUCUCCAAAAGCCAUUCACAGUUCGGAUAGAGGUCUGCAACUCGACCUCUUGAAGUUGGAUUCGCUAGUAAUCGCAUAUCAGCAAUGAUGCGGUGAAUACGUUCCCGGGCCUUGUACAC
This 768-nucleotide ribosomal RNA is filed under the name uncultured bacterium. Its description in RNAcentral is "bacterial SSU rRNA". It matches the Rfam family "Bacterial small subunit ribosomal RNA", at positions 617 to 1388 of the family's 1533-position model. The record is from RNAcentral.